RNAcentral lists this long non-coding RNA (1373 nucleotides) under Micromonas commoda. RNAcentral's name for it is "long non-coding RNA (MCOM_LNC000076)". Lineage: Eukaryota; Viridiplantae; Chlorophyta; Mamiellophyceae; Mamiellales; Mamiellaceae. The record is from RNAcentral.
UACCUUUACGAGGACUAGCUAGUAGAGAUUAUUAAAAUUAACACUAAUAAAUAUUGGUUGUUUAUUUCAAUAUUAUAUACCAUUUGCGCUAUCGUUAACUCGCUGACUGGAUGGUUGACUAUUUGUGCCGUAGUUUCAGUCAUAUCACAUACAAUCUACGUCAUUUCUCCUGAAAAGAUCCGACCCGUCAUAUCAGGAGGUUCGGCAGAUCCCAGGGUGAAUAUUGGCGAGGUUUCAUAACGCCAUUUCAGUUCCAUUUCCAUUGAGAAUCUAAUAAAUAAGACCAGCGUUCCCAAUUUUGAUUAUUGAGAGGUUAAAUAUGGUGGACACGUACGGACGGAUGGGCAAACCGUUCCUCAACCUCCUCAAAGACGUCGCCGCACACUAGUAUAUUACUGCAUGAACCAUUAAGUUCAGGAAAUAAAUGUAACUUCGUAUUUAUCACCUUCAUUCGUUCGUAUUUAUAUACCUUCGUAGUAUCCAUAGUAGCUAGCUAGCAGUUGUGCUAAUAAUAAAUACAGUACCUUCGUAUAUACCUUCGUACGUUUCGUUCGUAAUAAGGACCUAAACUUACCUUCGUUAUUAGACUGUUAUUAGUAUAAUAAUAUUACCUUCGAAGGUAUAAAUACCUUCGUAAAAAAUACGAAGGUAUUAAUACCUUCAUAUAUACCUUCGUAUAAUAACGAAGACAUUGUGCAUGCCAAUAAUAACGAGGUAAAAAUGACAACAAUGUGCAGUACACUUCAGCUGAUGGAACCUGUAUGUGGACCUAAGUCUUAUGUUCAGAAUCCCACCCAUGAGGUUUAGUGCAUCUCUAUAUUAUCUUCUGAAGCCGUAGCAUGUCUUCUCCUCUUGAUGGGCUGGUCGUGGGUAAAGAGAAACCUUCGACCAUGGGAGCAGACAUCCAAAAAGGUAUUUCAAUAUUCAACAACAGGAAAUCUCCGACACAACCGAGAACAAAAACCUUCGAGACAUCAAAGAUCGGGGAAGUGGUUGGUUUUCCUUCCCAAGAAAUUGUGAGCCAUGAAGUCGUCGAGCAAACUGGUUUUCGAUCACUAGGACUGAACAGCUGGUUGUGUGAAAAUAUAACCUCGAUGGGAAUCGCCACCGCGACACCGGUUCAACGGGGUUGCAUACCCGCAAUUUUGGCAGGAAGAGAUGUCAUCGGAGUGGCGCAAACUGGCACAGGAAAGACGGCAGCGUUCGCUCUCCCUAUUUUACAGAUACUUGGACGAGAGCCUUAUGGAAUUUUUUGCCUUUGUUUGACACCAACCAGAGAACUAGCAUCUCAGAUUUCAGAACAGUUUAUUGCUUUUUCGGCAGGGAUGACUCUCCGCUGCGAAACCGUUUUUGGUGGCGAGAAUAUCCGGACG